UACGAAGGGGCUAGCGUUGUUCGGAAUCACUGGCGUAAAGCGCACGCAGGCGGAUCGUUAAGUCAGGGUGAAAUGCCGAGGCUCAACCUCGGAACUGCCUUGAUACUGGCGAUCUUAGAGUCCGGAGAGGUGAGUGGAACUCCGAGUGUAGAGGUGAAAUUCGUAGAUAUUCGGAAGAACACCAGUGGCGAAGGCGGCUCACUGGCCGGUACUGACGCUCAGGUGCGAAAGCGUGGGAGCAACAGG
This 246-nucleotide ribosomal RNA is filed under the name uncultured bacterium. RNAcentral's name for it is "partial 16S ribosomal RNA". It matches the Rfam family "Bacterial small subunit ribosomal RNA", at positions 524 to 776 of the family's 1533-position model. The record is from RNAcentral.